CGGUCGCGGGCUGCUUGGUGGUUUAUAAGCGUUGCAAAUGGCGGUACGCGUCUGCCGGCGUUCGGUUUUGCCGGCGGUGGGGGCGGAACGAGCCUGGGAACUGUUAAUGAUAAUGUUCUAUAGUAUUCUGUUUGUUAAUACCUCGAUCCAUGUACUUAUCCUGGAGAAAGAAAGAAAGAAUGAAGAGGAUAUGGCACCAAUGCAGUAGUGUAAGCCGUCUGAAGCAUAGCAACCGAUGGGCACUGCUUUCUAAAGGUUUGAAAUCCGAGCUGUACUGUUCAGACCAUCCCUACUGUGGGGAAUACCCACUUCAAACAACAUGCACAGCCUCUCAGGUACAAAGUUUGUUCCAGACCAGGAGACAUUCGGUUUGGAGCUCCGUGUCAGCCAGGAACUGGGAGUCAAUGCCUUGCACAGCUGAAAG
This is a long non-coding RNA of Aquila chrysaetos chrysaetos, 424 nucleotides long. RefSeq lists it as uncharacterized. NCBI's taxonomy places the organism in Eukaryota, Metazoa, Chordata, Aves, Accipitriformes, Accipitridae. The transcript is spliced from 4 exons. The record is from RefSeq and is a predicted model, not a curated record.